Molecule: long non-coding RNA, 2309 nt
Organism: Megalobrama amblycephala (Wuchang bream)
Lineage: Eukaryota; Metazoa; Chordata; Actinopteri; Cypriniformes; Xenocyprididae
Exons: 5
Source: RefSeq, a predicted model, not a curated record
GUCCACUUCCGCCCUUUAUUUUUCCGUUGGCGAUUUUAUGAAUGGAAGCCGCGGCAGAUCUAAGCCACAGCUGGUUUACGUGUUGCAUGGUGGCAAUAGACCAAAUGUAAGGAUCGUUUGUGCAGUCACACGUCAAAUAUUGGAACAUUAUUGAGAGUUGAACACAUGAUGCAUCGUUUAGGAGUAUUAUGGCUGGAUGGUUGCCCAAGUGUCAUAAAUCAAAAUAACGGAUGGUAGAGAGUUGGCUAAGGGGGAACUGAGGUCACAUCAAAGACAAAAAAGGGACUAAGUAGAUCAUUGUCAUUUUAUAGUGUUGCCUGAUUUGUUCCAUUUGCAUUACCCACUGUUAAUAUUAUUGUUCGUUUUGUUUUUUUGUUGUAGAUUUCUUUUUGACCUGACGGUGGCUGCGGGGUUGCCUUCACUGGUGGAUGGCGGUGGUGUGGUGGUUUGGUCACUUUAUUUGUCUUUUCUUUUAGGUCUGCAGUGUGAUUUGCCGUGAGCUGAUUGGACUCCAUAUUAAGUGUUGAGGACUGGACUGAGGAGGCUAAGGUGUGUAUUGAGGGAAGGGGUUGGUCUGAUAAAGAAAAGGUGGUGUUUCUGCUUGACCAUCUGGUGGGGGAAGCUAGAAUGGAGAGAAAACUCCGUCCACCAGCUGCUAGGGAAACUCCAGAAUCUGUUUUUGAUAUUUUACGAGACUUGUAUGGGGGGAAACAGACAUUUGUACAAUUACAACAAAGGUUUUAUGAACGAAAACAGAAAGAAGGUGAAUCGUUGACUGAAUUGUCCCAUGCUUUAAUGUCCUUAAUGGACUUGAUUCUUGCUGGUAAUCCAGGCAGUUUUCCAAGUUCUGAUAGGGUGCUUCGAGAUCAGUUUGUGGAACACGUUCGAGAUGUAAUGCUAAAACGUGAACUUAAACGAUUAGUACGGGAGAAGCCAUCUUCUACUCUACUGGAGGUUCGAAGUGAAGCUCUUAGGUGGGUGGAAGAGGGGAAUAGAGAAGUAGUUGCUUCAUAUGUUCAGCCAUGGUGUAAUGUUACUCAAGGCAGGGUGGUUGAGCCUGAACCUAAGGUUAGAUUUCAAGAAUCUUCAGAGCUAAAAGAAGUUAAAGAGAUGUUGAGGUAGCAACAAGUACAAAUAAAUGAACUUACUCAGCGUCUCGAAAGCUUUAUGUCUCAAAAGAAUGAGUCCUCUGUCACCUCAACUAGGCAAAAUAGUUCACGACGAUGACUUCGCUGUAAUCGAGUUGGGCAUAUAGCUAGAUAUUGUUGACAACCCUGGCCUAUAGAUGCAAACUCUAGAUCACCUCAAGUGACUGUGAACGAGACUUCUGUGGGGGAGCCUGAUAGUGUAGUAUCCCCUACUGUUUUGAGUCAUAUUGUGGAGGGGGAUAAUGAAGUUUCACAGACACCUGUUUGCCCUACUAUUGUACAACGUCUUGUAGGCAAAUGUCCUAUUGUAAUUUUGCAGAUGGGGGGAGUAGAGAUUUCCUGUUUAUUGGAUACAGGGUCAAUGGUGACCACCGUAACAGAGUCAUUUUUUGAGAAGCAUUUUUGACAACUGGGAGUAGAUGCACUUAAAAAAUGUAAUUGGCUUCAAUUAAAAGCAGCCAAUGGUCUUGAGAUACCAUAUGUGGGAUACUUUGAAACCGAUGUGACUGUGUUGGGGCAAACUCUUCUAGGACAAGGUAUUUUGGUUGUGAAAGACCCUGUUGAUACUUUGUUACAUCAGAGGAAAGAGCUGACUCCUGGCCUUUUAGGCAUGAAUGUGAUUGGACAGUGUUAUAAUGAUUUGUUUGAAAAACAUGGCCCAGCACUAUUUUCAGUUCCACAGGUCAGGCAGGCAGAAUUAGGCUGGAAGGAUGCCCUGUUACAGUGCCAUCGAGCAGAUGAUGCCCCUACUCCUGGAUUUAUUGGUUCUAUAAAAGUGCAGUACCGCCAUCCUGUUCAGAUUCCAGCCGGGACCAUGAGAUUUCUUUUUGACCUGACGGUGGCUGCGUGGUUGCCUUCACUGGUGGAUGGCGGUGGUGUGGUGGUUUGGUCACUUUGUCUUUUCUUUUAGGUCUGCAGUGUGAUUUGCCGUGAGCUGAUUGCAGUGGGAGCACGUUUGUCUGUACGCCAUUUCUGUCUUCACAACUUGGGUAACCCGUGGCCAUCUGUGGGUUUUGUUAUUUUUAUUUGGUUUAUUUUUGUUUACCUUUUUUUGUGGGUAAUUGCAUUGAAGGUCUGUUGCAUCCUUUUAACAUGUUAAUGUUUUUUUCCUUCGUAAUUAUAUUAUUUUCUUUUGAAUAAAAUGUUUGUUUAUUGAAGCUU